This 253-nucleotide ribosomal RNA is filed under the name uncultured bacterium. Its description in RNAcentral is "partial 16S ribosomal RNA". It matches the Rfam family "Bacterial small subunit ribosomal RNA", at positions 524 to 776 of the family's 1533-position model. The record is from RNAcentral.
UACGGAGGAGGCAAGCGUUAUCCGGAAUUAUUGGGCGUAAAGCGUCCGUAGGUGGUUUAUCAAGUCAGUUGUUAAAGCGUAGAGCUUAACUCUAUAAGGGCAAUUGAAACUGGUAGGCUAGAGUGCGAUAGGGGCAAGGGGAAUUCCCAGUGUAGCGGUGAAAUGCGUAGAUAUUGGGAAGAACAUCGGUGGCGAAAGCGCCUUGCUGGGUCUGCACUGACACUGAGGGACGAAAGCUAGGGGAGCGAAAGGG